GUCGAGGAUCUUCCGCAAUGGGCGCAAGCCUGACGGAGCGACGCCGCGUGGAGGACGAAGGCCUUAGGGUUGUAAACUCCUGUCGAGGGUUAUGAAUGGCGUUUGGUGAACAGCCGAACGAGUGACGUAAGCCCUGGAGGAAGCACCGGCUAACUCUGUGCCAGCAGCCGCGGUAAUACAGAGGGUGCUAACGUUGUUCGGAAUUACUGGGCAUAAAGCGCACGUAGGCGGCGCGUCGAGUGCGGGGUGAAAUCCCACGGCUUACCCGUGGAACAGCUUUGCAUACUGGCGUGCUUGAGUGCGGUAGAGGAGAGCGGAACUCUUGGUGGAGCGGUGAAAUGCGUAGAUAUCAAGAGGAACACCGAAGGCGAAGGCAGCUCUCUGGGCCGUAACUGACGCUGAGGUGCGAAAGCCAGGGGAUCAAACGGGAUUAGAUACCCGGGUAGUCC
RNAcentral lists this ribosomal RNA (449 nucleotides) under uncultured bacterium. RNAcentral describes it as "bacterial SSU rRNA". It matches the Rfam family "Bacterial small subunit ribosomal RNA", at positions 354 to 796 of the family's 1533-position model. The record is from RNAcentral.